AUGAGGGAGGCAGAGGCUGAACCUGGAGAGGCCGAGGGGAGGCAGGAGCUGGGCCUGGAGAGGCUGACUUCAGGGCCAUUUGGGCCUGCCGUGGCCACCGGGAGUGGCCACAGCAGCCGCUGGUGGUCCCGGUCACUGACUAGGGCCUGGUGGCCGAGGUCGCUCUGCGCGGUAGCUGGAACCGGGGACUUCUCGCCAGCGGUGACCACAACAACACGGAGGCAUCUCUUGUGCUGAAACUGACCAGAGGGCAAAGUGUUGGAGACAGUUGGUGUGUCUGAGGUGCCAAAACAGAAUGGAAACUAUGAGACCAGGCAGCUUUUCCUUCAUAGCGUUUUUGGCUACCAAGGUGUUGUCCUGUUUCCCUGGCAGGCCAGACUGUAUGACCAGGAUGUGGCUUCUGCAGCUCCAGAAAAAGCAGAGAACACUGCUGGCCAUGGCUCUAAGGAGGUAAAAGGCAAAAGUCACACUUACUGUCAGGUGCUGAUUGAUGCCCGUGACUGCCUACAUAUAUCUCAGCGAUCUCAGACAGAAGCUGUGGCCUUCUUGGCUAGCCAUGAUGACAGCUGUGCCCUCUAUGUCAUCCCAGGCCUGGACUAUGUCAGCCAUGAAGACAUCCUCCCCUACACCUCCAUUGAUCAGGUUCCCAUCCAACAUGAGCUCUUUGAAAGAUGUCUUCUGUACAACCAGACAGAAGCACCCCGUUCUGUGGCUUGGGAGACGUUAAGGGCCUGGGAAGAGAAGAAUCAACCUGGCUGGAGCUCUUUGAUGUUCACCGGGAAACAACUGAGAACAUACGUGUCACUGUCAUCCCCUUCUACAUGGGCGUGAGGGAAGCCCAGAAUUUCCAUGUGUUCUGGUGGCUCUGCUGUAUCCAUUUGGAGAACCUUGACAGUGACAUGGUACAGCUCCGGGAGUCACACUGGAGGAUAUUCAGUCUCUCCUGCACCUUGGAGACAGUGCAAGGCCGAGGGGUAGUGGGCAGGGAACUGGUGUCAUCCAAGAAACAGCCUGCAUUCCAGUAUAGCAGCCACAUCUUGCUGCAGGCUUCUAGUGGGCACAUGUGGGGCACAUUUCGCUGCGAAAGACCUGAUGGCUCCCACUUUGAUGUUUGGAUCCCUCCCUUCUCCCUGGAAAGCAAUAAAGAUGGGAAGACACCAACCUCAGGCCUUCACUGGUAGGCCAGCUGAGGCCCCACGUGGCCAGGCUCGGUCACCAGGAAGAACACCUCUCAUCCCACAAUUGCUGCAGAACUCUUCUCCCUCCCCAUCACAGGCCACAGUGGGUCUCUUAAUUUGAUUGUGGGGUUCUUUUUUGGAGGAGGGGUGGUAUAACUUUUCUUCAGACCACCCAUGUGGGACUCCUCCAAGGCUGUCCUUCUCAUAAGCUUCCUCAUGGCCUACACCAUGUUCCAAUAAGCCUCUCCACCAAGGAACUGUGUUCAGCUGCCACCGGCCUGGAGGACUUUCCUGGCCUGUCACAUGAGGUUUGAUCAGUAAACCACUAUGCACUUGACCACCCUUGC
Molecule: RNA transcript, 1525 nt
Organism: Cebus imitator (Panamanian white-faced capuchin)
Lineage: Eukaryota; Metazoa; Chordata; Mammalia; Primates; Cebidae
Gene name: polymerase delta-interacting protein 2-like
Exons: 1
Source: RefSeq, a predicted model, not a curated record